Molecule: long non-coding RNA, 1744 nt
Organism: Athene cunicularia (burrowing owl)
Lineage: Eukaryota; Metazoa; Chordata; Aves; Strigiformes; Strigidae
Exons: 8
Source: RefSeq, a predicted model, not a curated record
CACAAGACUACAGUUUGAAGUAAAAUCUGUAGUUUCUUAAAGUAAAAAUACUGGGGGCUUUUUAAGUAGAAGAUUAAUAAGGAUGAUAAGUACAUGUGUAUAUACAUAAGUACAUACACUCUCAGGAAUGUUCUCUUUGUAUCUUUGACUUCAUGUAAGUCAACAAGAGCUAAAGUAGAAAGCCCAGUGAGGAAGUAGAGUGUUACCUACUUAAAGCAUUUGGUACAAAAUCUGACUUCAGUGGAAUGGUUCUAAUUCUCACAGCAGAAGGGAGGCCAGCCAGUUGGAUCAGUGAGCCUGUCCGGACUGGACAGAUACUCUGGAGUCUGUUUUGUUUCCCUUUUUUCUUUUCCAGCUGCUCUAGGAUGUGGUUAAUUCUACAUUGUUGCAGUGUGGCUACAAGGGCAAUUAUUGUUUGUGUGAAACUGGAGAGAAAUGGGUGGUUAAGUCUGCUUCAGAUGUAAUUAAGUCUGAAAUGUCUCAGUGGUCACAUUAGAAGCACUAAUUUUAAGCUCUCUUAUUGGUUUAGGCCAUAGCCGUUUGUUACAUAAAAAGGAAAAGGGGUUUUUUUGGUCCUUAAUGAUUUUCUGUGGGAAUAUGGAGGGGAAAAAAAAAAAAGUGUUCUCCAAAGCAUCAAGACAGUAAUACCCACUACAGACUCCUUGUCCUGCCAAAAUAAAUUAGGAUUUCAACAAAGUUGGUGAUAAAGAGCAAUCUGAAGUUUUACCUGUUUGAACUCAGAGCUGGCUCAGCUCCUACAAAGUGUUCCUCUGCUCAUCCACCUGCUAGCUUUCUGCUGAUGCACUGCAGCAGCUAACGGCUCAAAACACAGGAGUCAACAGGUGAUGAAAAGCCUGUCUGCAGACUGUGCUGUCGCAGGCCCACCACUGAACUAGGUUUGAUGGUGUGGAGCAGUAAUGCAGGAAAGGGAGGGGACACAGCAAGAGAACUAUGGACUUCAGAGCAAACAAGAGAGGAAACAGAACACUAGGAGAAAAGGCACAAUGACUUAUUUAGAUACAGCAGCCAGAAUAUGCAGACCAGUGGUGGAAGCAUCCUCCUAUACGUUCAGUGUGCCCAGAAUAGGGAGAAUCAGUUAAUCAUAUCACUGAAAUGAGUCCUCUUUCCCUUGGAAGAAGAAAUUUCAUUAUAAUUCAGAUUUCUUUAUAACAUAAUAAUGUAUAGCAGAUUAAGAGGUGUCAUGUCCUACCAACCCAAGAGACCUCAACCACCAGAAGGAAUAUCCAAAGCACAGCAGGCUCAGGCACCCAGCAUCAGCCCACACCUCCUCACUUCCCUACAUGAGGAAGAACAUCCUCCAAUGAGACGCUAACUACUACCUUGAGGGGUUCCUCUCACAGAUGCUGCUGUCUUACCUCAGGGAAUUACCAACAGGCAGAUUACAACAAUUAUUUUCCCAAUGAUAGUAACCAACCACAUUUUCUGUGAAGAUGACCUUGGAUUCCAGAACUGAACUGCGCUGGAGUACAGGAAAUCAUGGGAAGCAGGAUGGACUCGAAUUAAAAGGAAGGGAUUUGUUUUUCUUGCGUUUGGAUGCCAGUGCCUGUUGAACUACGGUGACAUACUGUAAAAUCUGUGCUUCUCAUUAUGUAACUAAGCAAAAGGAAGAGCUGCAAGAGAUUAAAGUAAAACAACAGUAAUGAGAAAAUUUACAGCAGCCAGAAACUCUUGUAUGAAAAUGGAAAUUACAUUACAUAAUGUGCUGGACUGAGAACACUUGAAC